UGGCUAUUUAAUUCUGCUGUUAAGAGAAUAGAGUGUGUGUGUGCCAAGUGUAGAGCUGUUCUCAAAGGCCAGCCCUUCCAACAUUCCAACAUUCCAACAUUCCAACAUUCCAACAUUCCAAUCCUCUGUCUCCCACCACCUGUCACAGAAACUUGUGCCAUGGCAGCCUCAGAGUGCCAGCAGGGUUCAAAUCUGGUGUCUGUGGUAACCAUAGUCUGGUGCCUGUGGUAACCAUAGUCUGGUGCCUGUGGUAACCAUAAUCUGGUGCCCUGUGGUAACCAUAGUCUGGUGCCUGUGGUAACCAUAGUCUGGUGCCUGUGGUAACCAUAGUCUGGUGCCUGUGGUAACCAUAGUCUGGUGCCUGUGGUAACCAUAGUCUGGUGCCUGUGGUAACCAUAGUCUGGUGCCUGUGGUAACCAUAGUCUGGUGCCUGUGGUAACCAUAGUCUGGUGCCUGUGGUAACCAUCUGGCAAGCAGCAGUGAGUGCAGGGUUAGUCCUGCCUGCCUCACGCACCGUGAGCUGCUCUCUGCCCUCCUGGAAUAACACACUGCCACGAAACCUGUUCUGGGAUUAAUGCCUGGACACGCACCUCGGCAAAGCAAGGUUCAGAAUACAAAGCAGGGACAGCUCCAAGCUGAUUGGAAUUCUGAGAUAUAACAAAAACCUUCUUUGGAGUGUGACCUUGAGAGCAGAGCUGUUGUGUGCUAUAAAUAAUGGAGAAUUAGCUAUAUAGGUUAAAACAGUGAGGAAAGUAUUUUAUGUGAUUUUCAAGGGCUGUAAGCCCAAGAAGAGCUGAUGUCUAUCAGAGUGUUAUAUAAAUAGUCUUGUAAUGAGGAAGAGCAUAUAAGAUCCAAGAUAGAUUUCUUCUUUUUAAUGAGAUGGGAGAAUAUAUUACUUCAGAAUUUAAAGGCUAUUUUUCUUUUUGAAAUUCAGAUCUGGCUUUAUGAAUAUUUUAUUUUAAAAAUCCCAAUGAUGGUAAUAAGUUUUCUAAUGCUAAGACAUUUCUCUUUAACAUGUAAGUGUAUUGUUGACAAGCCUAAUUUUUCCAGAAAAAUCACUUUAAAGUUACUAACAUACUUUCUAAAACUAAAUUCAAUCUCAUGCCAUCCACCAGUUUUUUCCAGUAAUGAAGCUUUCUGCCAUUAUGAAACAGUAACAGUAGAAAUUACUAAUAGGUCUAAUAGAAUAAUUGCUCCUACAGUCCCUGCUGGAAACUUGUCACAAGGAUAACCUUGCACCAGACCUGUAUUUUUGGUAUAAGCUUGCAUCUGACUUGGCACUGGAGUUUCUGCAAAGAGGAAACACCAGCUCAUUUAAAAGAAACAGGAGAAAUUGCCUUAAGAUUAAUUUCAGCUGCAGUGGAAGGAGGAUGUUGGAACAUUCCAGCACAGGAUCAGCACCAGCCACUGUUUUACCAAGUGUAAGAAGAAGGAACAUAUUUCCCCACUCCCCUGCUACACUGUGGGUAGAUCAGUAAAAAUUUUCUCAACUCA
Molecule: non-coding RNA, 1494 nt
Organism: Cyanistes caeruleus (blue tit)
Lineage: Eukaryota; Metazoa; Chordata; Aves; Passeriformes; Paridae
Source: RefSeq, a predicted model, not a curated record